This 743-nucleotide ribosomal RNA is filed under the name uncultured bacterium. RNAcentral's name for it is "bacterial SSU rRNA". It matches the Rfam family "Bacterial small subunit ribosomal RNA", at positions 94 to 823 of the family's 1533-position model. The record is from RNAcentral.
AGCGGCGGAUGGGUGAGUAACACGUGGGGAACCUGCCCCUAAGUCUGGGAUACCAUUUGGAAACAGGUGCUAAUACCGGAUAAUAAAGCAGAUCGCAUGAUCAGCUUUUGAAAGGCGGCGUAAGCUGUCGCUAAGGGAUGGCCCCGCGGUGCAUUAGCUAGUUGGUAAGGUAACGGCUUACCAAGGCGACGAUGCAUAGCCGAGUUGAGAGACUGAUCGGCCACAUUGGGACUGAGACACGGCCCAAACUCCUACGGGAGGCAGCAGUAGGGAAUCUUCCACAAUGGACGCAAGUCUGAUGGAGCAACGCCGCGUGAGUGAAGAAGGUUUUCGGAUCGUAAAGCUCUGUUGUUGGUGAAGAAGGAUAGAGGUAGUAACUGGCCUUUAUUUGACGGUAAUCAACCAGAAAGUCACGGCUAACUACGUGCCAGCAGCCGCGGUAAUACGUAGGUGGCAAGCGUUGUCCGGAUUUAUUGGGCGUAAAGCGAGCGCAGGCGGAAAAAUAAGUCUAAUGUGAAAGCCCUCGGCUUAACCGAGGAACUGCAUCGGAAACUGUUUUUCUUGAGUGCAGAAGAGGAGAGUGGAACUCCAUGUGUAGCGGUGGAAUGCGUAGAUAUAUGGAAGAACACCAGUGGCGAAGGCGGCUCUCUGGUCUGCAACUGACGCUGAGGCUCGAAAGCAUGGGUAGCGAACAGGAUUAGAUACCCUGGUAGUCCAUGCUGUAAACGAUGAGUGCUAAGCGU